CAUCGCAAGCAGUGGUGUAGUCACUGUAAAAGCACCACACACCGGGACGCAACCUGCAGACGGAAACAGCGGCGGGACGACGCACGACAAGUUUCCGGGGAGAUUAACAACAAGGAAUAUGCAUUCCUGCUGGGCAACCUAAAACUGAAAGAGGAAACUUCGAGUGCUGAACCGAAGGAAGCAAAUGUAAAACAAGAUCCUUCAGAUAAAGUGGAGAAAACCAAUAAACCAGACAAAAGUGGUGAUAAUGCAGACGUCAAGCCGGAUGAAGAUGACAGAGAGGACAAGGCUGCGCAGUCCCUGUUGAAUAAGCUCAUCCGCAGUAACCUGGUUCAAUCUUCACACCAGGUUGAAGUGCUGCAAAGAGAUCCAAACUCCCCUCUCUACUCAGUGAAGUCCUUCGAAGAGCUGCAUUUGAAAAAAGAUCUUCUGCAAGGCGUGUAUGGAAUGGGAUUUAAUAGACCUUCGAAGAUCCAGGAGACGGCAUUACCCAUGAUGCUGGCAGAGCCCCCGCAGAAUCUGAUUGCUCAGUCUCAGUCGGGCACCGGGAAGACAGCUGCCUUUGUUCUGGCCAUGCUCAGUCGAGUGGAUCUGUCCCAAAGGCAUCCACAGUGCUUGUGCCUUUCCCCAACCUAUGAGCUGGCUUUGCAGACUGGACAAGUGAUUGAACAGAUGGGAAAAUUCAGUCCUGAUAUCAAGUUGGCAUACGCUGUGCGAGGAAAUAGACUUGAGAAAGGCCAGAGGAUUUCAGAACAGAUCGUUAUUGGAACACCCGGGACUGUGAUGGACUGGUGUACAAAGCUGCGGUUCAUAGAUACCAAGAAGAUUAAAGUUUUUGUCCUGGAUGAAGCUGAUGUCAUGAUCGCCACCCAAGGACACCAAGACCAGAGCAUUAGAAUUCAGAAGAUGCUGCCCAACAAUUGCCAGAUGCUGCUAUUUUCAGCCACGUUUGAAGACUCUGUAUGGAAAUUUGCCCAGAAAGUUGUUCCCGAUCCGAACAUUAUCGAGUUGAAGCGAGAGGAGGAAACCUUGGACACAAUUAAGCAAUAUUACGUUAUGUGUAAUAGCAAGGAAGAGAAAUACCAUGCCCUGUGUAAUAUUUACGGAGCAAUAACCAUAGCUCAGGCCAUGAUCUUCUGCCAUACCCGCAGGACAGCUGGUUGGCUGGCAGCGGAAUUGUCCAAAGAAGGUCAUCAAGUAGCUCUGCUGAGUGGAGAGAUGAUGGUGGAACAACGAGCUGCCGUGAUCCAGCGUUUCCGGGACGGGAAAGAAAAAGUCCUGGUCACGACUAAUGUCUGUGCAAGAGGUAUUGAUGUGGAGCAAGUUUCUGUCGUCAUCAACUUUGAUCUUCCGGUGGAUAAGGACGGUAAUCCAGACUGCGAGACAUAUCUUCACCGGAUCGGGCGAACAGGCCGCUUCGGCAAGCGAGGGUUGGCUAUCAACAUGGUGGACAGCAAAUACAGCAUGAAUAUCCUGAACCGGAUCCAGGAGCAUUUCAAUAAGAAAAUUGAAAAGCUUGAUACUGAUGACCUUGAUGAAAUUGAGAAGAUCACCAACUGAGGUACAACUGGCUGAAGUCAUUCAAGCCCGUCUCAACCCUGUGACAACGUGCACUGCCCAGAUGCAAUUGGACUUUUGGACGCGGUUUAUUCUGUAGCCAAUUUUGAGAAUAAACUGAUAGAAUCAAAUGACAUUCAAUUUACCUCAUCUAAAACUUUGCAUUGGGAUUUUGUAUCUUCGAAGGAGUGAAUAAUAAAAAAAAAACGCUAGUGUUUCCAUUAAAACAUUCAGCAUACUCUAUAUAUUUUGUCUUAGUUAACCUUAAAAAGAAUAUUUGAAAUGCCAAACAACAGAAAAAGGUGAGAGGUGUAAAUGUGAAGCAGUGACCAUUUCAGUUUAGAUGCUGUUCAUUUAUAUGAUGGUGCGUUACAAACAUAGAUUUAAGUUUAUUUGGAAAUGAAAUGUUACUGACAUAUUGAAACAAGAUAUGUUAUCUUAAAUAAAUUUAACAAGACUUCGUUAUUUAGCAUAUGAAUUACAGAAUGUCAUUUAUUCUCACCAAUUUGAGGUGGUCAUCCAUUAGUUUGUGUAAUCUGGUUGAUUUCAGGGAUAGUAAUUUUUUUUCCCCCUCUGAUCCCUUGCCCUGGGCUCAAAGUUAUGUAGUGACUCACUCAUUUCUGUAGACUGAGAUAAGCAAGAAUAAAACUUCCUCCUCUGUAACGUUCAGUCAUUUGGAAACCUCCAAACUUGCUUUGCAGCCUCAAGCAAAUCAAAUAAUCCCUCUUAACAUAGACACAGAAAGCUGGAUUACUCUAUGCACUUCAGAAUUCAUUAUGCUUUUAGGGUCUAUCUUUGGUUUAAACCAGCAUCUGCAACUCCUUCUUCACACUAGUGCUUUGACCAAAUAGGAAUACUAGUUGCUUAAUAGAGUAGCAUCCAGAAUUAACUUUCAAAGUGGAUGUGUUUUAGAUGACCCAGGUAUCUGAUUAAACUCUCCCUAAAUUUUGUGUAAGAGGCAUUAUUGCUGGGCAGAAGUAACUUUGAAUUAAAUAUUGCAGAAUUUAAAUGUGAAUCCUGAAUUAAACUGUUUGAAUAAGUAGUCUAGAGCAGCAUGUAAAAUGACUUGCUUGGUUUCAGAGUCAAUAGUUGAUCGGAAUAGCUGCACUAAAUAAACAUUCUGUAUAAUUGCUUGGAAUUUCAACUGGUGCAAGUUAAAUAUCUGCAUAAAUGAAAUGCAUCAUAGUCAGAUCUUGGAUAUACCACUUAAUGCUUGUAUAGCAUAUAAGCGAGAAACUGCUCCGGGUUUUUAAGCUGGAUAUAUACAGUACCCUCCUUAAUGUUUGUGACAAAGACCCAUCAUUUAUUUAUUUGCCUCUGUAUUCCACAAUUUAAGAUUUGUAAUAGAACAAAAUCACGUGGUUAAGGUGCACAUUGUCAGAUUUUAAUAAAGGGUAUUUUUAUACAUUUUGGUUUCACCAUGUAGAAAUUACAGCAGUGUUUAUACAUAGUCCCCCCCCAUUUCAGGGCACCAUAAUGUUUGGGACACAGCAGUAUCAUGUAAAGUAGUCAUGUGUAGUAUUUUAUUGCAUAUCCUUUGCAUGCAAUGACUGCUUGAAGUUUACGAUUCAUGGACAUCACCAGUUGCUGGGUGUCGUCUCUGGUGGUGCUCUGUCAGGCCUGUAUUGCAGCCAUCUUCAGCUUAUGCUUGUUUUGGGGGCUAGUCCCCUUCAGUUUUCUGUUCAGCAUUUAAAAGGCAUGCUCAAUUGGGUUCAGAUCGGGUGAUUGACUUGCCCACUCAAGAAUUUACCAUUUUUUGGCUUUGGAAAAACUCCUUUGUUGCUUUAGCAGUAUGUUUGGGAUCAUUGUCUUGCUGUACAAUGAACCGCUGGCCAAUGAAUUUUGAGGCAUUUGUUUGAACUUGAGCAGAUAGGAUGUGUCCAUACACUUCAGAUUUCAUUAUGCUCCUACCAUCAGCAGUUGUAUCGUCAAUGAAGAUAAGUGAGCCAGUACCUUCAGCAGCCAUACAUGCCCAGGCCAUAACACCCCCACCACCGUGUUUCACAGAUGAGAUGGUAUGCUUUGGAUCUUGGGCAGCUCCUUCUCUCCUCCAUACUUUGCUCUUGCCAUGACUCUGAUAUGUUAAUCUUUGUCUCUUCUGUCCACAAGACCUUUUUCCAGAACUGUGGUUGCUCUUGUAAGUGCUUCUUGGUAAACUGUAACCUGGCCAUCCUAUUUUUGCGGCUAACCAGUGGUUUGCAUCUUGCAGUGUCGCCUCUGUAUUUCUGUUCAUGAAAUCCUUUGCGGACAGUGGGCAUUGACAGAUCCACACCUGACUCCUGAAGAGUGUUUCUGAUCUGUCGGACAGGUUUUUGGGUUUUUUUUUUAAAUUAUAGAGAGAAUUCUUCUGUCAUCAGCUGUAGAGGUCUUCCUUGGCCUGCCAGUCCCUUUGCGAUUAGUAAGCUCACCAGUGUUCUUUUUCUUCUUAAUGAAGUUCCAAACAGUUGGUAUUGGUAAGCCUAAGGUUUGGCUGAUGUCUCUUAACAGUUUUAUUCGUUUUUCUCAUCCUCAUAAUAGCUUAUUUGACUUUCACUGGCACAACUUUGGUCCUCAUGUUGAUAAACAGCAAUAAAUGUUUCCAAAGGUGAUGGAAAGACUGGAGGAAAGACUAGGUGCUGAGAGCUCCCUUAUACCUGCAUUAAGGAAGACAUUUAAACACACCUGAGCAAUUACAAAAACCAGUGAAGCCAUGUGUCCCAAACAUUAUGGUCCUUGAAAUGAGGGGACUUAUGUAAUUUCUACAUGAUGAAACCAAAAUGUAUAAAAAUACCCUUUAAUAAAAUCUGACAAUGUGCACUUUAACCACAUGUGAUUUUUUUUUUUCUAUUGCAAAUCUCAAAUUGUGGAGUACAGAGACAAAUAAAUAAAUGAUUGGUCUUUGGCCCAAACAUUAUGGAGGGCACUAGCUUUAGUAGACCUGUGUUCUCACAUUACAUGUGAUUGUUCUCCAUUUUAAGCUUAUGUAAGCCAAUUGACUUGUGAGACUAUAUUUGCCAUGCACUGUAUGUUACUGUACAAGAGGCAGCUGGGGAAAUCAAUGACAUUUUCAAGCGCUGUGACACAAUAAUUAAGUCAGAUUUCUGCCAUUAUGUUAUAACCCAUUUAUACAAGUUACUCCAUUUAACUUUCCAGUCGGACACAUUUGUACACACAGCAACUAUUUUUAAACCAUUUUGCCAAUACAAUUCUUUGAUCCCUCAACAUGAAUCGGGAAGUCAGUAUUUUUAUUUUUCUACUUGAAAUCUGGCAACCAGAGAUUGGGUCAUUUCUUGUGCUUUGUCCCGUCUUGAACCUUUAUACUCUAGAGCCGGUGCACAUAGGUAGUCUGUACUUUGCCAUUGCAGUGUUUAGAAACAACUGCUUUGACCAGCAUAGCAGUUCUUCAGUCUAAAAUCAGAAAGGGAAUUGUGGUUUGGCAAUCAAUUAUUUGCAAUAUAUGGCUAGCUGGUGAGACACUUGCUGCUUGUAUUCCACAAGAAAUGUUUUCAAUUUGUGACUUGCAGCUCUACAGUGAGUGGGAUCCAUUUUAACAAUCACUCCUCACACUGGAACGGUUUCAAAUCUGUUAUAUGCUGGAAUUGGGGAGAGCAGUGAUGAAAGUAUUAAAAUAGGCAAAACCUGAACUGCAAUCUUAUGCAACAUUAUUGGCUGUGAAAUUCUGUUCAAAUGCAGGAAUAAAUUAAUACUUUUACCGGGUAAAAAUUAUUAAAACUAAUCUGAUGUUGUACCUAAAGUUUUAGGUGAAUUUGACAAUGCCCUCUCCACAUGUGUUACAGCUUUACCUUAAAUUGGGUGUGCAGUUUCAGUUACUCUGUUGAAUUUUAUACUAUGGGGCAUAUGCAUUUGUGCACAGUGCAUUUUUAUUUGAAUUGGAUUGUAUUGAAAAUAUUUAAAAGAGAAAUGAAUGAGUGUCAUGAAUAAAUUGAGAGUGAAAUGCCUGUAAUUUUUCAAAUUGUAAUAGAUUGUUUAGCAGCCCUGACAAUGGAGAUGGCUAAUGCUGCUUCUGGUUUCCACAUUAUUCCUAUGUACUAAUUGGAAUAAAGAAUAAGGACAUCAA
RNA transcript from Leucoraja erinaceus (little skate), 5614 nucleotides. It is a transcript of the gene named DEAD-box helicase 19a, with no coding region annotated. The transcript has 13 exons. Lineage: Eukaryota; Metazoa; Chordata; Chondrichthyes; Rajiformes; Rajidae. The record is from RefSeq and is a predicted model, not a curated record.